Molecule: long non-coding RNA, 1796 nt
Organism: Acanthochromis polyacanthus (spiny chromis)
Lineage: Eukaryota; Metazoa; Chordata; Actinopteri; Pomacentridae
Exons: 2
Source: RefSeq, a predicted model, not a curated record
UGUGGUUCUGAGUUGUUGGUGUUUUAAGUUCUAUUGCAUGCUUUUGAUUAUUGGUGUUCUGAGUUUUGUCUUUGAUUUUUGGGUGUCCCACUGCCUGUGAACGCCUCUGAUGAGGCAAUGUGCUGCACCUGCCAGGUUCUCCCUUCCUCCCUACAGGAACCAAUGAACGGCGGGGACAGAGGCUUCGGGGCUGGCAGGAGAGAGCUAUAUAUGAGUCUAUGGAAAGCAAAGGAGAGCGCAUUUGGAGGGAGAGCUGCAAAGGGUGGACAAGCGGUGGGAGCACGAGUCUGAAAACGGAGGCAGAGCGGAACGCUGUGACGAAGUCGGAGAGAGACUCAGAACAUUACAACGCGACAUACUCGCAGCGGCAGGGUGGUUAGCACUGCCGGGCGUGUGGUUUCCCUGGACAUGAGCCCAGGCUCAGGAAGAAGGUGGCUGGAUUCCGUGACUGCUGAACCGUGUGCUCCGUACCCCGCGUCCCCUGGAUUUUAACUGCGGAUUUUAACUUAGACUAUAGGUUUUAUUGGACUCGCACCUUGCCGGCAAGAAGUUGGGUAAUGUUUUUAGAAGUGUGAACUGUGUUGGCAUAUAGAGAAACGAUUCUUCUAAUUAAAUGAUUGUUUUGCACCGGCAUUUGGUUUUUCUGCCCUCCGUUAAUUGUCGCUGAUAAGGUCCUCCAACCUGAUCGGUAAAGAACCUGGUACAAAAAUUUGCAAUAUCAUUGAUUCGGUCAUCUUACAUUAUAUACUCACACCCACUCGGUGUCACACGUGCACGCAAAAACAUAUACACAAACAAACACAGACACAUCAACAGCAGAUCCAGGUAGGAGGAGAACAGAUUGAAGAUACAAUAAUUUACACCUUUUUACUACCCUCUGGUCCAGUGGAUCUGAACAUAUGUAAUAUGUAUUUAGAGGAGUGUGGAGUCCAAUCAUUAAAAAUGUGUUUGUUGUAUGAUCUUCAGAUGACAUAACCUAAGCCUAACCCUAAACCUAAGGCCAUGGACUCUGAAUUUGCCAAAACAAUAAAUCACUCAUUUUUUUUGAUGUAGUAACCAUAGAAAAUGACUUUCACAGACCCAAACAAGAUACUAGUGGGAUAAGUGCAAAUCCUUUUGCUAAUGCCUUGUUCCUCAGGGUUGGCUGACAUCUACCCGAGAAUAAGUUACUGCUUCACCUUCAAAUCAGCUUUGUAGUAAUAUGGUGUGCAAAAACUGCCAACACUGUUCAUGGCUCCUGUGCACUCUGGCUCCCGAUUAUUUCUACUGACAACACUUUGGCAUUAGAAAAGUACAAGUAGAUCAUCACCUUCCAAGCUCAAGGGAUUUAAAUUCUUCUGGCAGGCUGUUGAGAGGAAGCUCUACCCAGGGCCGGCCCGAAGACUUUGGUGGCCCUUAGCAAGAUUUUUUUUGUGGCCCCAAAACAUGCACAGGGCAACUACCAAAUCAUGUGUACAGUUUGUAAUUGGGUUAAAACACACAUGCACACGAUUAACAGCAAAUAUUCAGCCCACUCCUGAACUUCGUUUUUGGAGCCAUGAUGCCAUCUGUAGUGCUAUUGCUUUUCCAUCUGUGGCUUCUCCAGACCAGUGUAAUCGAUCAAGUUUGAAACUGUGCCGUGGUGUCACAGUAGCCUAACUUACGCACGAAGCAUGGAGUCACCAACUGACUGCUGGUUUAUUUUUUCUUUCCUGUAUUUUUCCCGUAUAGUUUUCUAAUAAGCCAGUUUAAAUUGAUAUGUUACCAUGAUGAUUUAUGUUUUAUUGGAAUAAAGACAGGCAUGGGCGUAACCACCA